GUGAGUUGGAGGUCGACUGCCGGCCGAUGCGGAUGAAGACCCUAUCCCCGAAAGGGAGGGGUUUUGAUUGAUGGCCGAGGAAGCUCCGCCCACCCGUUCAGGCAGCAUGGCGCCGAAAGGCGCUGGCUCGAGAGGGCCAGCCGGGGAUCAGAAACGAUAUCACCCUUCCCCUAGCGAUGCAAGCUCAAGGGAGGGUUGAUUGAAACGGCCCCGGACAUGUGGUGCAAGACCAAGUAGGCUGGAUGACGGCAGGACAGCGGGUAGGUCGCUCAGACGAAUGUCGACGGAGACCAUUAGGCGCAAGCCAAUGAUGGUCGAACAGAAGGCGGGCUACUCCCAACACAC
The sequence is an RNase P RNA, 345 nucleotides long. It matches the Rfam family "Archaeal RNase P". From Rfam's summary of the family: Ribonuclease P (RNase P) is a ubiquitous endoribonuclease, found in archaea, bacteria and eukarya as well as chloroplasts and mitochondria. Its best characterised activity is the generation of mature 5'-ends of tRNAs by cleaving the 5'-leader elements of precursor-tRNAs.